GAAGAGGGGAAGGAGGAAGGAGCCACUAGCAUUUUCCAGAACAGUCCUCCCAAGAUAAAUGUUAUUAUCACCAAGGAAACCUUCAGUCCUAGACCAGAGUCUUCCAGUCCAGUGCCUGCAAGCAUAAGAAGGAUCUCUCCAACCUCUUCCCAUGUCACCUGGCAACAGGAAGUCUAAAACAUGUGCUGCCCACAGCAAAGAACCUGAACUUGGGUUUGGACAUGGUGUGAGAGCACUCUCCCUCACCUCCCACCUCUGCCGCAGUCUCCAGCACGUAAAUGAGAAACUGCAGUUGCAGAGGCAGGGAGAUUGGACAAACUGACGCAUCUUGAACAUCAGCUUCCUUCUGAAUCUGCAAGUCCUCAAGAAGAUGCAUCUGUUGCCGCACGUCAAAGGGAGGAGGGGGCAUUCAUGGGCCCUGGUGUGUUUGCUAGGCACCCAUAGGCGCCCAGAGAGGCCGUGCAUAGCAGCGGUUCAGCCAAGCUGGAGAAUCUGUAGCCCCUACAUGGGCCCCAGGGGUCUGGAAUUACGUGGGGGAGUUCCUUCAACCAGCCUGCGCACGGAAUCCUCCCCAUCUCCCCACCCCCUCCAGACCCGUUCUCCUGAAACCUAACCACGUUAGUCCCAGUCAGAUGUAUUUGUGCGUGCUAAGUCGCUUCAGUCAUGUCUGAGUUUUUACAACCUUGUGGACUAUAGCCCACCAGGCUCCUCUGUCCAUAGUAUUCUCCAGGCAAGAAUACUGGGUUGCCAUUUCCCUCUCCAGGGGAUCUUCCCAACCCAGGGAUCAAACCCAUGUCUCUUAAGUCUCCUGCAUUGGCAGGUGGGUUCUUUACCACUAGUACCACCCGGGAAGCCCAUUCGGUCACACCAAAUAAGAAAGUCCCCUUGACAGUCCCACUCCCGCAACACGCACACACACACACACAAUCUCACCAUCACACACGGCACAGAAGUGUCAGCCCUACAAG
Bos taurus (domestic cattle) is the source of this 968-nucleotide long non-coding RNA. The record is from Ensembl. NCBI's taxonomy places the organism in Eukaryota, Metazoa, Chordata, Mammalia, Artiodactyla, Bovidae.